UACGUAGGUGGCAAGCGUUGUCCGGAAUUAUUGGGCGUAAAGCGCGCGCAGGCGGUUCUUUAAGUCUGGUGUAUAAGCCCGUGGCUCAACCACGGGACGCACUGGAAACUGGGGGGCUGGAGUGCAGGAGAGGAAAGUGGAAUUCCACGUGUAGCGGUGAAAUGCGUAGAGAUAUGGAGGAACACCAGUGGCGAAGGCGGCCUCCUGGCCUGUAACUGACGCUGAGGCGCGAAAGCGUGGGGAGCAAACAGG
RNAcentral lists this ribosomal RNA (252 nucleotides) under uncultured bacterium. RNAcentral's name for it is "partial 16S ribosomal RNA". It matches the Rfam family "Bacterial small subunit ribosomal RNA", at positions 524 to 776 of the family's 1533-position model. The record is from RNAcentral.